RNAcentral lists this ribosomal RNA (253 nucleotides) under uncultured bacterium. RNAcentral describes it as "partial 16S ribosomal RNA". It matches the Rfam family "Bacterial small subunit ribosomal RNA", at positions 524 to 776 of the family's 1533-position model. The record is from RNAcentral.
UACGGGGGGGGCAAGCGUUGUUCGGAAUUACUGGGCGUAAAGGGCUCGUAGGCGGCCAACUAAGUCAGACGUGAAAUCCCCAGGCUCAACCUGGGAACUGCGUCUGAUACUGGAUGGCUUGAAUCCGGGAGAGGGAUGCAGAAUUCCAGGUGUAGCGGUGAAAUGCGUAGAUAUCUGGAGGAAUACCGGUGGCGAAGGCGGCCCCCUGGUUGGAUACUGACGCUGAUACGCGAAAGCAUGGGGAGCGAACAGG